RNAcentral lists this ribosomal RNA (919 nucleotides) under uncultured candidate division CAB-I bacterium. Its description in RNAcentral is "bacterial SSU rRNA". It matches the Rfam family "Bacterial small subunit ribosomal RNA", at positions 9 to 955 of the family's 1533-position model. The record is from RNAcentral.
GAGUUUGAUUCUGGCUCAGGAUGAACGCACAAGACGUGCCUAACACAUGCAAAUCGAAUGAAAAUAAUUAAUUAUUGUUUUCAUGGUGAACGGGGAGUAACACAUAAGAAUCAGCUUUUAGAUAAGGCAUAAAAGAGUAAUAUCUUGGUAAUUCCUUAUAUGCGCAGCAGUGCUUAAAAAGGGGAGUCCCGUCUAAAAACGAGCUUAUGCCUGAUUAGCUAGUUGGCGAGUUAAAAGCUCACCAAGGCGAAGAUCAGUAGCUGGCCUGAGAGGGCGGCCAGCCACAUUGGGACUGAGACACGGCCCAAACUCCUACGGGAGGCAGCAGUGGGGAAUCUUCUGCAAUGGGCGCAAGCCUGACAGAGCGGCGUCGUGUGAAGGAAGAAGGCCUGAAAUAGGUUGUAAACUUCUUUUACUGAGUAAUGAAUAAUGACAACGCAGUAAAAAAGUAUCGGCUAACUCCGUGCCAGCAGCCGCGGUAAUACGGGGGAUGCAAGCGUUAUCCGGAAUAACUGGGCGUAAAGCGUCUGUAGGUGGUUUAGUGUGUUCUUAGUUAAAUUCUGAAGCCUAACUUCAUGAAAAGUAAGAAAACUAUUAGACUUGAGUACGGUAGGGGUAAGAGGAAUUCUUCGAGAAGUAGUGAAAUGCGAAGAUACGAAGGAGAAGAUCAUAAGCGAAGGCUUCUUACUGGGUCGUAACUGACACUGAGAGACGAAAGCUAGGGGAGCGAAUGGGAUUAGAUACCCCAGUAGUCCUAGCUGUAAACGAUGGAUAUUCGGUGCCGGAAAUUUUAUUAGAACAUUUCGGUACCCUAGCUAACGCGUUAAAUAUCCCGCCUGAGGAGUACGCUCGCAAGGGUGAAACUCAAAGGAAUUGACGGGGGCUCGCACAAGCGGUGGAGCAUGUGGUUUAAUUCGAU